Molecule: unclassified non-coding RNA, 635 nt
Filed under: Hevea brasiliensis (rubber tree)
Lineage: Eukaryota; Viridiplantae; Streptophyta; Magnoliopsida; Malpighiales; Euphorbiaceae
Source: RNAcentral
UUUUUUCCUGGGUAAAUUAUAGUUUUCUUACCACCUAUUAUCUGAUUUUGACUCGUUUAUUUUUUAGCAUAUUGGUAAAAUAAACAAGGACCUUUAAGGCCUCAUAUUAGACAAGGAUCUUAAAAUCUCCUUUACUGUAUCAGGACCUUUAGAGCCGUUAUAAGGACAAUAUUUGGUCUCCAAUAUAUAUGCAUUGCAUACUCUGUAGGAAUAUUUCUCUCAGAUUUCAACAUGAUGGAGAUAAAGGAGCACUCUUUUUUUUUGUGUGUGUCCAUAAUAGAAUAUUUUCUAGUGAUAUCUAUAAUAGUUCUUAUUUUGCUUCAGAUUCAUGAUUGAUUUCAAAGUUUUCUAUUUUGUAGCUUUUGAUUAGGAUCAUGGCAAUAGUGUACUGUUGUUCAGUUGAUAAUCCUGUUGCCUUUUGUUCCUUUUUAGCUCAAAUUUCAUAACAUUAGACUAUCUUACCAUUUUUAAAUUUCUUUUUUCUGUUCGUGGUAUUAGAUGAGGUAUUGUUUCCACCGCAAUGUCUUCCUCCCUCUUCCUACGUAUUCACGUAAAACUCAAUGUUAUAAAUGAGAAAAAGAAGAGCCAUUUCUUUUGUUACUGUCUGCCACUGCCAAUUUUGUCACAAGAAAAGA